GCAUGUCUGUCCAUCCUUGAACAAAACUGAACUCAAUGCUGUCGUAUCUAGGCCAUAGCCAUCCUUAACCACAUCAUCGUACCCACAAGCUCCACCUGCAUGCAAUGUGAUCAGGUUUCAUUAAGAAGAUACUCGUAACAACUUUACGUACAUAGUAUUGGUACAUGCAUUUAUUUCAAUGAGUUUUUAUAUUAUAACACAUCUUUUAUUUUGAACAUGGUAAAAAAAUUUAGACUGAAUAGCUUUAGAUAUAAGUAAUGAAAUCAGGUAAGAAAUAUUGUACCAAAUGUUUUAGUGUCUCCAUCGUAGAAGGUUGCAAGAGCUUUCUUCCAUCCAGUAGGCUUAAAAAUUGGACGAUGAUGUCUGAGUUCACCUUUCUUGUUAUAUUUGUUAUUGCUUUUGCCAGCAGCAUGGACAUUAGGAAGUGAGAAUGCUACAAGAAAGACCAAUGUUGUGAUUAGGAUGGCUCCCGAGAGGAAAGCCAUGACAACUUUUCAGAUUUGGUUUCAGUUCUCUCCAAUAUAUGAGAUGAUUCUUUGAUGUUUUCCUAUAUUUUCUCACCUGUAUCUGUAUGUAUAUAUAGGAAAAUGUGUUUAGCAUGUGUAACAAUUUUAAUUGGCUGCCACUUUCGCGGAAUGUUACAGUAUGA
Molecule: long non-coding RNA, 649 nt
Filed under: Vigna radiata
Lineage: Eukaryota; Viridiplantae; Streptophyta; Magnoliopsida; Fabales; Fabaceae
Description: long non-coding RNA (VRAD_LNC002412)
Source: RNAcentral